This 465-nucleotide ribosomal RNA is filed under the name uncultured bacterium. RNAcentral's name for it is "partial 16S ribosomal RNA". It matches the Rfam family "Bacterial small subunit ribosomal RNA", at positions 28 to 507 of the family's 1533-position model. The record is from RNAcentral.
GAUGAACGCUGGCGGCGUGCUUAACACAUGCAAGUCGAACGAUGAAGCCCAGCUUGCUGGGUGGAUUAGUGGCGAACGGGUGAGUAACACGUGAGUAACCUGCCCUUAACUCUGGGAUAAGCCUGGGAAACGGGGUCUAAUACCGGAUAGGGGCGUCCACCGCAUGGGGGGUGUUGGAAAGUUUUUCGGGUUUGGAAGGACCCCGGGGCCUAUCAGUUUUUGGGUGGGGUAUUGGCCCCCAAAGGCGCGGACGGGUACCCGCCCGGGGGGGGGGCCGGCCCACCUGGGACUGAGACACCGCCCAGACUCCUACGGGAGGCAGCCGUGGGGAAUAUUGCCCAAUGGGCGGAAGCCUGAUGCAGCGACGCCGCGUGGGGGAUGACGGCCUUCGGGUUGUAAACCUCUUUCAGUAGGGAAGAAGCGAAAGUGACGGUACCUGCAGAAGAAGCACCGGCUAACUACGUG